Molecule: ribosomal RNA, 443 nt
Filed under: uncultured bacterium
Lineage: Bacteria
Description: SSU rRNA
Rfam family: Bacterial small subunit ribosomal RNA
Source: RNAcentral
AGAACGAACGCUGGCGGCAGGCUUAACACAUGCAAGUCGAACGCACCGCAAGGUGAGUGGCAGACGGGUGAGUAACACGUGGGAACAUACCCUUCGGUACGGAACAACUUGGGGAAACUCGAGCUAAUACCGCAUACGUCCUGGCGGAGAAAGAUUGAUCGCCGAAGGAUUGGCCCGCGUUCGAUUAGCUAGUUGGUGAGGUAACGGCUCACCAAGGCGACGAUCGAUAGCUGGUCUGAGAGGAUGGCCAGCCACAUUGGGACUGAGACACGGCCCAAACUCCUACGGGAGGCAGCAGUGGGGAAUAUGGACAAUGGGCGCAAGCCUGAUCCAGCCAUGCCGCGUGAGUGAUGAAGGCCUUAGGGUUGUAAAGCUCUUUCGCACGCGACGAUAAUGACGGUAGCGUGAGAAGAAGCCCCGGCUAACUUCGUGCCAGCAGCCGC